UGAGAUCGCCUAUUUCAGCCUUGAUGCUC
This 29-nucleotide small RNA is filed under the name Bombyx mori (domestic silkworm). RNAcentral's name for it is "ovarian small RNA-8217". The record is from RNAcentral. Lineage: Eukaryota; Metazoa; Arthropoda; Insecta; Lepidoptera; Bombycidae.